This 544-nucleotide long non-coding RNA is filed under the name Parus major (Great Tit). RNAcentral describes it as "lncRNA (ENSPMJG00000011348.1)". The record is from RNAcentral. Lineage: Eukaryota; Metazoa; Chordata; Aves; Passeriformes; Paridae.
GGAGCAAGGACUUCCCCCUUAGAUUAUGGGAAGAUGGUUAUUUUAUCACAGAACUAGUAGAAACAAUUUGAAGUGUUAUAUUCCUGUUAUUAUGGCAUAAAACUUGAAAAAAAUAUUCUCCUUAGACAGAAAUAAUAUUUCUGUAUCCGUAAAAUAUUUGGACUUUUUACUGUAGCAUGUAAAAAUCUUGAAUAAGCAAUAAACUUCCAUACUUUCUUUUCAGGUGGUUUUCCUCAGUGGGCUCAUGGCAUCACCCAAACCCACCAAGCUCAGGAGGAUAUCCUGGAGACCAUCCCCACUGCUCUCAAAGUUUAAUCCAGAAGUAGGUCAAAUCCAGAUGGUGAGUCAGGAAAUGCUAAUGUAUUUUAAUUAUUAGGCUAUUUUUAGAAAGUUCAUCAUGUUAUAUAGCCAGGAAGUGAAGUGGAGCAGAAAGUAAAAUCCGAGCUAGAUGAUUCUCUCUUUUUGAGAUAGGAAGAUGAGUUAUGCUUCAUUGACGCUAUUAAUGAAAAAUAAAUUGUGACAGUUCUAGGUCUAAAAGCUGAGC